UGGGGAAUAUUGGACAAUGGGCGAAAGCCUGAUCCAGCCACGCCGCGUGUGUGAUGAAGGGCUUCGGCUCGUAAAGCACUGUGGAGAGGGACGAAUCUGUCGGGGAAUAACACCUUCGGCGGUCGACGGUACCUCUUUAGCAAGCACCGGCUAACUCCGUGCCAGCAGCCGCGGUAAUACGGAGGGUGCAAACGUUGCUCGGAAUCAUUGGGCGUAAAGCGCACGUAGGCGGCCGCGUCAGUCGAGUGUGAAAGCCCGGGGCUUAACCCCGGAAGUGCGCUCGAAACUGCGCGGCUUGAGUACGGGAGAGGGUGGCGGAAUUCCCGGUGUAGAGGUGAAAUUCGUAGAUAUCGGGAGGAACACCAGUGGCGAAGGCGGCCACCUGGAUCGAUACUGACGC
RNAcentral lists this ribosomal RNA (400 nucleotides) under uncultured bacterium. RNAcentral describes it as "bacterial SSU rRNA". It matches the Rfam family "Bacterial small subunit ribosomal RNA", at positions 355 to 746 of the family's 1533-position model. The record is from RNAcentral.